RNAcentral lists this small RNA (27 nucleotides) under Bombyx mori (domestic silkworm). RNAcentral's name for it is "ovarian small RNA-11969". The record is from RNAcentral. Lineage: Eukaryota; Metazoa; Arthropoda; Insecta; Lepidoptera; Bombycidae.
AGAUGAUCCAGGAUUGUGACGAUCAUA